ACUUAAGCAUAUCAAUAAGCGGAGGAAAAGAAACCAACAGGGAUUGCCUCAGUAACGGCGAGUGAAGCGGCAACAGCUCAAAUUUGAAAUCUGGCCCUAGCGGUCCGAAUUGUAAUUUGUAGAGGAUGCUUUUGGUGCGGUGCCUUCCGAGUUCCCUGGAACGGGACGCCAGAGAGGGUGAGAGCCCCGUACGGUUGGACACCUACCCUAUAUAUAGCUCCUUCGACGAGUCGAGUAGUUUGGGAAUGCUGCUCUAAAUGGGAGGUAAAUUUCUUCUAAAGCUAAAUACCGGCCAGAGACCGAUAGCGCACAAGUAGAGUGAUCGAAAGAUGAAAAGCACUUUGAAAAGAGGGUUAAAUAGCACGUGAAAUUGUUGAAAGGGAAGCGUUUGCGACCAGACCUUCUCUAGGCGGAUCAUCCGGUGUUCUCACCGGUGCACUUCGCCUGGUUUAGGCCAGCAUCGGUUUUCGUAGGGGGAUAAAGGCUUGGGGAACGUAUCUCUCUCGGGAGUGUUAUAGCCCCUCGCGUAAUACCCUUACGGGGACCGAGGACCGCGCUCUGCAAGGAUGCUGGCGUAAUGGUCGUCAACGACCCGUCUUGAAACACGGACCAAGGAGUCGAACAUUUGUGCGAGUGUUUGGGUAUUAAACCCUCACGCGUAAUGAAAGUGAACGGAGGUGAGAGCCCUUCGGGGUGCAUCAUCGACCGAUCCUGAUGUCUUCGGAUGGAUUUGAGUAAGAGCAUAACUGUUCGGACCCGAAAGAUGGUGAACUAUGCGUGGAUAGGGUGAAGCCAGAGGAAACUCUGGUGGAGGCUCGCAGCGGUUCUGACGUGCAAAUCGAUCGUCAAAUCUGCGCAUGGGGGCGAAAGACUUAUCGAACCAUCUAGUAGCUGGUUACCGCCGAAGUUUCCCUCAGGAUAGCAGUGUUGUUUUCAGUUUUAUGAGGUAAAGCGAAUGAUUAGGGACUCGGGGGCGCUUUAUUGCCUUCAUCCAUUCUCAAACUUUAAAUAUGUAAGAAGCCCUUGUUACUUAAUUGAACGUGGGCAUUCGAAUGUAUCAACACUAGUGGGCCAUUUUUGGUA
This 1083-nucleotide ribosomal RNA is filed under the name Thuemenella cubispora. RNAcentral describes it as "eukaryotic LSU rRNA". It matches the Rfam family "Eukaryotic large subunit ribosomal RNA", at positions 32 to 1142 of the family's 3401-position model. Lineage: Eukaryota; Fungi; Ascomycota; Sordariomycetes; Xylariales; Xylariaceae. The record is from RNAcentral.